Arachis ipaensis is the source of this 1138-nucleotide non-coding RNA. The record is from RefSeq and is a predicted model, not a curated record. NCBI's taxonomy places the organism in Eukaryota, Viridiplantae, Streptophyta, Magnoliopsida, Fabales, Fabaceae.
CAAAGGAAGCGCUUUUAAAGAGUAACAUAUUUGUUAUAUUUUGAGUGCACUUUAAAAGCGUAGCCUAAUGUAUCUAGGCCAAAUGCACCCAAACACUUAGUAAUUUUUCUUUUCCUUAUCACCAAAUCACACUCACCUUCGAAUACCCUCACUUUCGCCAUCUGAUCAGAAAAAGUUUCGCCCCUCACCUUCGCAAAUCACCUUCGAAUUAAUUGUUGAAAACCCUAACCCUAACACACCCACACACUCACACUCAUUCUCACCAUCACUCACCACUGCCACCACGCCCCCCUUUCACACACACACACACCCAGAUCCAAGAGAAAGAGUGAACCAGAGGGAGGAGAAGAGGGAGACGAAGAUGAGAGAGCGCGAUCGAGAGAAUAGAGAGUGAGAGGGGGUCACCGCCGCAACGUCGCUGCAGCUGCCACCAUUGGCGUCGUGGAGCAGGGAGCCUGGAGGGGAGAGAGAGACGAUUUGCAGACGAGAUGGAGAGAGAGGACGAAGAUGCGACGCAAGAGAGGAGGCUAUUCCGCCGUGCACUGUCGUCGCUCCUAGGGUCGAUUGAAGCCGCCGCCGCAGCUAGGGCUUGCCGUGCUCCUGCAACAAUAUAUUUUAGAAGUUGUAUUCGACUGGAAGAGAGGGAAGGGGAGCGUUUGAACUUUCAAUUUCAUUAAUUUUUGCUGAAUUUCUGUGCAUGUGGGUGAAUACUGGAUUGUGAAGGAUGGUUAGGAUUGUGAAUACAGAAGUUUUGACCUCUUCAUAUAUGGUAUCCCUUCUUUUUUUAAUUCCCACAAGAGCUUAGGAUUGGUUAAACAGAGCAAAUUGAAACUUUGAAUGUUCCCCUCAUGCAGGGAACAAUGCUGAUCGAUUCCUGAAUUGGAGCAGUAGGUUCCAAAUUGUUCUAGGCGUGGCAAGGGGAUUGCAGUACCUUCAUGAGGAUUCACAUCUAAAAAUUAUUCACCGAGACAUCAAAGCAAGCAACAUUCUUCUUGAUCAUAAGUUUCAUCCCAAGAUUGGAGACUUUGGCCUUGCCAGGUUCUUCCCUGAAGACCAAGCUUAUCUUAGCACACAAUUCGCUGGAACAUUGUUUAGUUAUUAAGUAAUUGAGCUGAGCUGUAAGUUUGACAAAUGAAAU